GCUGUCAUUGAACCAGAAGCAAAACAAGUUACAAGGACUGACUCUGUCUACAAUUGGUGUCAGCACUGGCUACACGUCUUUCACAUUAUAUAUGGCCUGGCCACGAGUCAUCACACCUGACGUGAGAGGUGAGAGAGAUGCAUUUAGAUGCAUGGACAAUGAGAAUGCCCCGCUGAGCAAAUGUCCAUACUACCAGGAAGUAAGAGACCAUGCUCCCCUCACCCCACAAGCAGGCCCCCUUCCCUGAAAGUCAACAAUAAACCACGUUUCCAGUAAGCCGGAUAGCUCCCCAAGUCUAGCCCAUCUCCAUGGUGACCACUACCAGAGCUGACAAUGCUGUGUCUUUUAGCCUAACUAGACCACCCAUGCGGAAAUACUUCUGAUAUAACAAUAUGUAUCAGAUUAUUAAAGCUCCGUAAUGCUGCUAUCACAUCUGUAGUCUGGAGUAAAAUAAAAAAUCCUCAACAAUAAGCUGCAUGUAUAGAUAUUUGUGGACAUACGCACAGUAUUUCAAACAUGUAAUAAAACGUUUCAGUCAA
Oncorhynchus nerka (sockeye salmon) is the source of this 539-nucleotide long non-coding RNA. RefSeq lists it as uncharacterized. The record is from RefSeq and is a predicted model, not a curated record. NCBI's taxonomy places the organism in Eukaryota, Metazoa, Chordata, Actinopteri, Salmoniformes, Salmonidae. The transcript is spliced from 2 exons.